This 72-nucleotide small RNA is filed under the name Geopseudomonas sagittaria. RNAcentral describes it as "Pseudomonas sagittaria Pseudomonas sRNA P10". It matches the Rfam family "Pseudomonas sRNA P10". The record is from RNAcentral. Lineage: Bacteria; Pseudomonadati; Pseudomonadota; Gammaproteobacteria; Pseudomonadales; Pseudomonadaceae.
CCAGGGCGACCCCACCGCCUGCCCGUUGCCGGGGCACGGCAACAACCCGAUCGUCGACGGGUCGCCCGAUGU